This is a long non-coding RNA of Oryctolagus cuniculus (rabbit), 1984 nucleotides long. Lineage: Eukaryota; Metazoa; Chordata; Mammalia; Lagomorpha; Leporidae. The record is from Ensembl.
AUGCGUGCCACGUCGUCCUGGAUGUCCCGCGGCGGGGCGGAGGGCAGUGGGGAGAGCUCCCCGGCUUCGGGCCUGGCCCCAGGGAGCGCGCGCACUAGCGCCCCGGGCUGUCCGGUUCCGGGAGCAGGCGGCUCCGGAACGGGUUUCCUCCCCCACCCCGGGUGGGGUGGGGGCGAGGGUCGGCGGGGCAGGUGUGUGCACAGGUCUCAGCUCUUGGCGGCCGGCUCCAACACCCGGGGCCCAGAUCAAGGAUCGGCUCCGGCGCCGGGAGCUGCUCCGAGGCCCGGGCCGGCGGUGCUGCGCGGGCGGCGGCGGCUCCGGCCGGUCGGGGGUUGCAUUACAACGGGAGUCUCUGCACGGGGAGAAGACGUCCAGCGCCGGUCACUGGCGGGGCCCCGCCCCCAGCACCUCCCUCCUUCUACCACUCUUUGGCUUCUCUGUAAAGGCCUCACGAAGGUGGCUGGAGAGGGCUCACUGCCACGGCCCUGGCACUGCCCAGCCCAGGUCUGGGUGGAGAGGAGGAGGAGCAGGAGGAAGGGGGGAGGGGGAGGAAAGGGGGGAGGAGGAAGAGGCGAUGAAGAACAGCUCGGGCGGCAGCAGAGGGGCGCCAAGGAGGUGGCACUGACGGCCUCCCGGUCCCCGCAGGCCGGCUCUUACCCGCAUCACUGGCACACGGGUAGUGGUAGGUGUGGGUGCAUCCUUUGUGGCAACACCCAAUGGUGGCCCCGGGCUCUUGGCAGCUGGAACAGGUCUGCCGGAGAGAGGGGAGGCAGGUCAGUCCCCAACCCCAGGCUUCCCACACGCCCAUCCCAGCCGGCUGGGUACCCACACCCCCUGGGCUGGUGCACUGGAUGCGCGGGGCCCUUCUUGGGCCACGGACCUUGGCAACCCCUCUUGUCUGUGGCCACCAGGCAGCACCUGCAAUGGAAGGUACUGGAAACAGGGUACUUCCCAUUGAACCCACUUUCCAGGUGGGGAGACUGAGGCACCCCCUGCAUUGGUCUCCGCCCUUCCGGGCAGCAGCAGGAACACUCCACAUGGAAUCAGACUUCUCUGCCCUCCCUGGAACCCCGGGUCUGAUCUUGGAGGCCCCCCACCGUGGCAGUAUAGACACACCCCUUUAUGUCAAUUUCAUGUUCUCCAAAACUACUAUCUGCUGAGUUUGGGGGCUGCCCAGCGCCUGGCCUGGCCACUUGGAGGGGACCUAGUGAGCACGGGAUGGCAGUGACAAGCAGGUCCUCUGGAAGAGUUUAGCAAGGGCAUGGACACUGUGCCACAGGGGUGGCAUCUCCUACAGGCACCGGUUCAAGUCCCGGCUGCUCCACUUCCGAUCCAGCUCCCUGCUAAUAUGCUUGGGAAAGCAGCAAAGGAUGGCCCAAGUGCUGGGACCCCCUGCCACCCAAAUGGGAGACCCAGAAGAAGUUCCUGGCUCCUGGCUCCGGCUUGGCCCAGUCCCUGCCGUUACAGCCAUUUGGAGAGUGAACCAGCGGGUGGCUGGCUGUGCUAGCCACGGCCGGAAGCUGGGUCCCUCAUCACCCCAUGCAUUUCCUGACUUAGGUGGCCAGCCUGGAGUACCCACUGUCCCUUACUGCCCUGCUGGACAGCUCCAUGCACACCACAGCCCAGAGCUGGGGGAGGCGAGGGUGGCGCCUAGGAGUGCGCCCUCUGGUGCCCAGAGCUGGCAGUGGGGCCGUGCGGGGCUGGGGUACUUUUUAGAAUAUCAGGAUGGGCCCCUUUGUGGGGUUGUCCUCCUGGGCACCUGGGCCCAUGGUUUCUGACCCAGAAUGGGACCCUGCCCCUCCACUCUGCUCCAGACAGGGAGCUGGAGUCAGCCGCCCCUGUGCUCUGCUGCUGGCCAAGGAGCCGGCACCAGGCACCGCUCAGCCUCGUGACCACGCCCCGAGGCGGCCCGGUCUGGAUGACAGAUGUGUCCCCCAGUAUAAGGAGAGCAGCAGGCCCCGGGCAGCCUGGGAACCUGAGGUCC